UUGUAACCUAUAGAAGCGUUUUCUGUGCCUGGCCCCUUAUGAGUCUGUUGGAAUAUAGCGUCAAAGAGGGUGAGAACCCCGUUCGUGAUGGGUGUCCAGUGUGCUCUGUGAUACGCUCUCUAAGAGUCGAGUUGUUUGGGAAUGCAGCUCUAAUUGGGUGGUAAAUUCCAUCUAAAGCUAAAUAUUGACGAGAGACCGAUAGCGAACAAGUACCGUGAGGGAAAGAUGAAAAGCACUUUGGAAAGAGAGUUAACAGUACGUGAAAUUGCUAUAAGGGAAACGCUUGAAGUCAGACAUGCUCCGUGCGUUCAGCCGAAAGGUGUACUCGUACGGUUGCAGGCUAGAGUCUGUUCUUGGGGUCGGAUAAGGGUCUUGGGAAUGUGGCCGGUUCGCCGGUGUUAAGCCCUGGACUUGAUACGGCUCUGGGGACAGAGGACCGCAGCGCGCCUUCUUGGCAUUGGCUUCGGCCUUUUCCGCGCUAAGGAUUCUGGCUUAAUGGCUUUAAGCGACCCGUCUUGAAACACGGACCAAGGAGUCUAACAUGCCUGCGAGUGUUUGGGUGUAAAACCCGUGCGCGUAAUGAAAGUGAAUGGAGGUGGGAUCCGCAAGGUGCACCAUCGACCGGUCUGGAUUUUCUAUGAUGGAUCUGAGUAAGAGCAUGUAUGUUGGGACCCGAAAGAUGGUGAACUAUGCCUGAAUAGGGUGAAGCCAGAGGAAACUC
Molecule: ribosomal RNA, 721 nt
Filed under: Scleroderma sp.
Lineage: Eukaryota; Fungi; Basidiomycota; Agaricomycetes; Boletales; Sclerodermataceae
Description: eukaryotic LSU rRNA
Rfam family: Eukaryotic large subunit ribosomal RNA
Source: RNAcentral